RNAcentral lists this small nucleolar RNA (74 nucleotides) under Lepisosteus oculatus (spotted gar). Its description in RNAcentral is "Small nucleolar RNA SNORD50". It matches the Rfam family "Small nucleolar RNA SNORD50". Rfam says of the family: U50 belongs to the C/D class of snoRNA which contain the C (UGAUGA) and D (CUGA) box motifs. Most of the members of the box C/D family function in directing site-specific 2'-O-methylation of substrate RNAs. Lineage: Eukaryota; Metazoa; Chordata; Actinopteri; Semionotiformes; Lepisosteidae. The record is from Rfam by way of RNAcentral.
CUUUAAUGAUGACUCUAUCCCGAACCUGACUUCAUAUCUGAUUGACAGUCUUAUAUGGAUCUGACUUCUGAAUC